GUUGUUUCUGUUGUUGGCUAAAGCUUAACAAUGGUGCAAGAGGACCAGCCUUCUAACUACAACUCCCGGCAUCCCCGCAGGCGGGGUGACGCACUUCCGGCAGCUGUCCCGGCUUGGUUGGGGCUUUGCGCCGCUCGGAGGAACCGGGUUGGAGAGCUGUCAGCCUUCUGGGUCAUUCGGGGUCACCUUUGGCCUUGGCCCUGGGGGACGGGGCUGCGGGGUCAGCCUCAGCUGCUCGUAGGCCGCGGAGGAGACAAUGCUGGUGAGUCCAGUGUAGUGAUUCAGGAGAGACCUGAGAGAUGGUGUGAAGAUAAGAGCUUCCGCUUGGAAGAAGGCACAGCUAACCCGGCUUUCUAGUGAGCUGUGGCUUUGGUGGUCUAUCUCAAAGUGUGCUCUCCACAGUCUCCCUUUCACAAGCUAACAAAGCUCUGUGGUGACAGCUCAUCAUGGGUUCAACCACUAGGACAUCCACAUGCCCUGUUCCUGAUCCCACCCAGUCAGAGGAGUGGCUAGUGGUGCUCAUGAUCCACCAUGGACUUUGCAGAAAUGAAACAGUUCCAAAGAUUCUGGACUCAUCUGUGUGGCCUUGAAACCAUCUAUCAUGAAACCAUGACAACAGAUAACUGAAGCUGGCAUGGCAAGAAGCUAAUGGUCAGGGCUGCUCUCAGGCCCAGAGAACAUUGCAGAAGAGGCAGCAGAGAGAUCAAGAGCCUGAGGAUGGAGAAGAGUUGCUAUGACACUGUCUUCUAGAUAUGACGUGGCUGUUGUCAAACCUUGUCCUGACACACAGUCUUUCCACAUGGAUCCAAGCUCACAGAUUAGACUGGAUGGCUGGCCAGCAAGCUCCAGGGAUCCACCCGUUGCACCUUCUCAUGCUCUGGGAUUACAGAUAUACCUGGUUUUACAUUAGGAUGCUGAGGAUCAAACUCAGGUCCUCAUCCUUGCUCAGCAAGCACUGUACCAACUGAGUUAUCGCCCCACCCCCUCUUUCUUUGACCUUGGGUGAACUGGAAGGUUCUGGAAAUAUACCCAGAUUGAAAGAUUCAUCAGAUUAAGGAAGAGACCGGAAGUAGUGACAAGAUCCCUGAAUUCACACAGUAAGCUAUCAGCAGUGAUACGGGGCAGGAUAUGACAGAAAUAGGCAGCUCCUUCAUAACCUUUGUCAUAGAAAAUAGACCUUACCCACCUCAGAACAUGGCAACC
RNAcentral lists this long non-coding RNA (1203 nucleotides) under Cricetulus griseus (Chinese hamster). Its description in RNAcentral is "lncRNA (ENSCGRG00015043295.1)". Lineage: Eukaryota; Metazoa; Chordata; Mammalia; Rodentia; Cricetidae. The record is from RNAcentral.